ACAUAGCCUUUAGCCGUAUUAGUAUUAAAGGUAACGCCUGCCCAGUGAUAACAUUUCAACGGCCGCGGUAUCCUAACCGUGCAAAGGUAGCGCAAUCACUUGUUCUUUAAAUAAGGACUAGUAUGAACGGCGACAUGAGGAUCAUCUUGUCUCUCACGCUAAGUCAAUGAAACUGAUCUCCCGGUUCAAAAGCCGAGAUACUACCACAAGACGAGAAGACCCUGUGGAGCUUCAAAUUACGCCUCAUAUAAGCCUGAGACCGUAAUUUUUGGUUGGGGCGACCUUGGAGCAAAACAAAACCUCCAAAAAAUCUUAAUUUUAGGCCAUCACGCCGCAAUAUCUUAAACUACUUCGACCCAAUAUAAUUGAUCAAUGAACCAAGUUACCCCAGGGAUAACAGCGCAAUCUUCUUUUAGAGUCCCUAUCGACAAGAAGGUUUACGACCUCGAUGUUGGAUCCGGAUACCCAAAUGGUGCAGCCGCUAUUAAAGGUUCGUUUGUUCAACGAUUAAUAAUCCCACGUGAUCUGAGUUCAGACCGG
This 540-nucleotide ribosomal RNA is filed under the name Amphisbaena alba. RNAcentral's name for it is "partial 16S ribosomal RNA". It matches the Rfam family "Bacterial large subunit ribosomal RNA", at positions 1813 to 2619 of the family's 2925-position model. Lineage: Eukaryota; Metazoa; Chordata; Lepidosauria; Squamata; Amphisbaenidae. The record is from RNAcentral.